This 601-nucleotide ribosomal RNA is filed under the name Salegentibacter sp. 24La. Its description in RNAcentral is "bacterial SSU rRNA". It matches the Rfam family "Bacterial small subunit ribosomal RNA", at positions 117 to 716 of the family's 1533-position model. Lineage: Bacteria; Pseudomonadati; Bacteroidota; Flavobacteriia; Flavobacteriales; Flavobacteriaceae. The record is from RNAcentral.
GUAUACAACCUACCUUUUAGCGGGGAAUAGCCCAGGGAAACUUGGAUUAAUGCCCCAUAGUAUGGAGAUCUCUCCUGAGAUUUUCAUUAAACAUUUAUGGCUAUUAGAUGGGUAUGCGUCCUAUUAGUUAGUUGGUAAGGUAACGGCUUACCAAGGCAGCGAUAGGUAGGGGUCCUGAGAGGGAGAUCCCCCACACUGGUACUGAGACACGGACCAGACUCCUACGGGAGGCAGCAGUGAGGAAUAUUGGACAAUGGGCGAGAGCCUGAUCCAGCCAUGCCGCGUGCAGGAAGACUGCCCUAUGGGUUGUAAACUGCUUUUACAGAGGAAGAACCACUCCCACGUGUGGGAGUUUGACGGUACUCUGCGAAUAAGGAUCGGCUAACUCCGUGCCAGCAGCCGCGGUAAUACGGAGGAUCCAAGCGUUAUCCGGAAUCAUUGGGUUUAAAGGGUCCGUAGGCGGGCAGUUAAGUCAGUGGUGAAAGUCUUCCGCUCAACGGGAGAACUGCCAUUGAUACUGAUUGUCUUGAGUUAUUAUGAAGUGGUUAGAAUGAGUAGUGUAGCGGUGAAAUGCAUAGAUAUUACUCAGAAUACCGAUUGC